UCUCGUCGUCACGUCCUGGUCGGCGACGGAUCCGGUCUUCCCUUGGGCCCCCACUACCACACCGCCUCCCUCCCCCGCCGCUGCCGGACUCCCUCCCUCCAUCGUGGUUGCCAACACGGCACCCCACCCGCCUAUACUCGUCCGUCGUCCCCCUCCCCAAUGAACUUGCUCCGACCACCCACCCAUCGACUGUCUCGACUCGCCUAGAUUCUACCGGAGGCUUCGCGAGCCUCGAUCCGGUCCGGCUGCCGCGAAUGCCGGCGGAUUCAUCAGGGGAAGGAGCGACCAUGAGCAAGUUCUUCGAGGGCUACGCAGGGCAGUACUACGAGAUCUCCGCUGCCCACUCCCGCAAGUGUGCCGCCGCCUCCACCGUCGAUGACGAGAAGAAGGGACAGAAGCUGUCUGAGAUCCACGCCGGCGAGUAGGAGUCUGAAUCGUUGCUCUCCGAUGAAUCGCUGGAGCAGUCCACACAACAUGCACAUGCGGCCAUCGACGACUCCCUAUGAAGUGCACUUGCAGGCGCCGACUCUUCCAUCUUCAAAAUUCGUUGGUAGCCACCGGAGAUGGUCUAGUCCAGGUCGGCUGGGUGGCCCCGGGGUUCACACUUUGUUCACAAUGGUUUGUGCAGUGUGCUUGGUUUUGUGGCCAGUAGCUAUUGGAUUUUUAUUGUAAAAUAAUCGCUGAAGUGCUUCUGGGUCUGGAUGUCGCAGCCGUGCAGUUUGGUAGUGCCCCAUUGCCCCAUUGCAGUUUGGUAUUACUUUUCUUGCAGAUAGGUGUCUCAGUGUAGUUUGGCUCGAUCGGCAAUGCAGUUCGUCUGGUUCGUGGAUGCAGGUUUCUGUGUGUUAAAUAAUGAUAUGUGUAGAUUGCAGGGACUUGUUUUGUAAGAAAAUGUUACCCGAGAUGCAGUUCAUUUUAAAAUUCCUUUGUGGUUCAUUUUGUAAAACGAGAAAAAAAAGAAAAAAAAGGAAUGGAUAUGUAUGUUUCGAAGCUCA
Long non-coding RNA from Triticum aestivum (bread wheat), 992 nucleotides. RefSeq lists it as uncharacterized. The transcript is spliced from 3 exons. The record is from RefSeq and is a predicted model, not a curated record. NCBI's taxonomy places the organism in Eukaryota, Viridiplantae, Streptophyta, Magnoliopsida, Poales, Poaceae.